GCCGUGUGUGGAGAAGCUGCUGCCGGUGUCAUGGCGGAGCUGAGUGAGGAGGCGCUGCUGUCAGUAUUACCGACGAUCCGGGUCCCUAAGGCUGGAGACCGGGUCCACAAAGACGAGUGCGCCUUCUCCUUCGACACGCCGGAGUCUGAGGGGGGCCUCUACAUCUGUAUGAACACGUUUCUGGGCUUUGGGAAACAGUAUGUGGAGAGACAUUUCAAUAAGACCGGCCAGCGAGUCUACUUGCACCUCCGGCGGACCCGGCGCCCGCUUGGCACAGAUGUUUUUUAGCUUUAUUCCGUUCUGAGAUGAAGCACUACCUCCUUCCGUCCCUCCUCCCGACUUGUUCCUUCGCUCGUGCUCAUUGCUGAUCCAGCCCUUCCUGCUUCUUUACAGAAAGAGGAGGACCCUGCUACAGGCACUGGAGACCCACCCCGGAAGAAGCCCACGCGGCUGGCUAUUGGUGUUGAAGGCGGAUUUGACCUUAGCGAGGAGAAGUUUGAAUUAGACGAGGAUGUGAAGAUUGUCAUUUUGCCAGAUUACCUGGAGAUUGCCCGGGAUGGACUGGGGGGACUGCCUGACAUUGUCAGAGAUCGGGUGACCAGUGCAGUGGAGGCCCUACUGUCGGCCGACUCAGCCUCCCGCAAGCAGGAGGUGCAGGCAUGGGAUGGGGAAGUACGGCAGGUGUCUAAGCAUGCCUUCAGCCUCAAGCAGUUGGACAACCCUGCUCGAAUCCCUCCCUGUGGCUGGAAGUGCUCCAAGUGUGACAUGAGAGAGAACCUGUGGCUCAACCUGACUGAUGGCUCCAUCCUCUGUGGGCGACGCUACUUCGAUGGCAGUGGGGGCAACAACCACGCUGUGGAGCACUACCGAGAGACAGGCUACCCGUUAGCUGUCAAGCUGGGCACCAUCACCCCUGAUGGAGCUGACGUGUACUCAUAUGAUGAGGAUGACAUGGUCCUGGACCCCAGCCUGGCUGAGCACCUGUCCCACUUCGGCAUCGACAUGCUGAAGAUGCAGAAGACAGACAAGACGAUGACUGAGUUGGAGAUAGACAUGAACCAGCGGAUUGGUGAAUGGGAGCUGAUCCAGGAGUCAGGUGUGCCACUCAAGCCCCUGUUUGGGCCUGGCUACACAGGCAUCCGGAACCUGGGUAACAGCUGCUACCUCAACUCUGUGGUCCAGGUGCUCUUCAGCAUCCCUGACUUCCAGAGGAAGUAUGUGGAUAAGCUGGAGAAGAUCUUCCAGAAUGCCCCGACGGACCCUACCCAGGAUUUCAGCACCCAGGUGGCCAAGCUGGGCCAUGGCCUUCUCUCCGGGGAGUAUUCCAAGCCAGUACCGGAGUCGGGCGAUGGGGAGCGGGUGCCAGAACAGAAGGAAGUUCAAGAUGGCAUUGCCCCUCGGAUGUUCAAGGCCCUCAUCGGCAAGGGCCACCCUGAAUUCUCCACCAACCGGCAGCAGGAUGCCCAGGAGUUCUUCCUUCACCUUAUCAACAUGGUGGAGAGGAAUUGCCGGAGCUCUGAAAAUCCUAAUGAAGUGUUCCGCUUCUUGGUGGAGGAAAAGAUCAAGUGCCUGGCCACAGAGAAGGUGAAGUACACCCAGCGAGUUGACUACAUCAUGCAGCUGCCUGUGCCCAUGGAUGCAGCCCUUAACAAAGAGGAGCUUCUGGAGUACGAGGAGAAGAAGCGGCAAGCCGAAGAGGAGAAGAUGGCACUGCCAGAACUGGUUCGGGCCCAGGUGCCCUUCAGCUCUUGCCUGGAGGCCUACGGGGCCCCUGAGCAGGUCGAUGACUUCUGGAGCACGGCCCUGCAGGCCAAGUCAGUAGCUGUCAAGACCACACGAUUUGCCUCAUUCCCUGACUACCUGGUCAUCCAGAUCAAGAAGUUCACCUUCGGCUUAGACUGGGUGCCCAAGAAACUGGAUGUGUCCAUCGAGAUGCCAGAGGAGCUCGACAUCUCCCAGUUGAGGGGCACAGGGCUGCAGCCCGGAGAGGAGGAGCUGCCAGACAUUGCCCCACCCCUGGUCACUCCGGAUGAGCCCAAAGCGCCCAUGCUGGAUGAAUCAGUCAUCAUCCAGCUGGUGGAGAUGGGAUUCCCUAUGGACGCCUGCCGCAAAGCUGUCUACUACACGGGCAACAGCGGGGCUGAGGCCGCCAUGAACUGGGUCAUGUCACACAUGGAUGAUCCAGAUUUUGCAAACCCCCUCAUCCUGCCUGGCUCUAGUGGGCCGGGCUCCACAAGCGCAGCAGCCGACCCCCCUCCUGAGGACUGUGUGACCACCAUUGUCUCCAUGGGCUUCUCCCGGGACCAGGCCUUGAAAGCGCUGCGGGCCACGAACAAUAGUUUAGAACGGGCUGUGGACUGGAUCUUCAGUCACAUUGACGACCUGGAUGCUGAAGCUGCCAUGGACAUCUCAGAGGGCCGCUCAGCUGCCGACUCCAUCUCUGAGUCUGUGCCAGUGGGACCUAAAGUCCGGGAUGGUCCUGGAAAGUAUCAGCUCUUUGCCUUCAUUAGUCACAUGGGCACCUCUACCAUGUGUGGUCACUACGUCUGCCACAUCAAGAAAGAAGGCAGAUGGGUGAUCUACAAUGACCAGAAAGUGUGUGCCUCCGAGAAGCCGCCCAAGGACCUGGGCUACAUCUACUUCUACCAGAGAGUGGCCAGCUAAGAGCCUGCCUCACCCCUUACCAAUGAGGGCAGGGGAAGACCACCUGGCAUGAGGGAGAGGGGCUGAGGGAUGGACUUCAGCCCCUCUGCUCUGUACCCUUUUUCCUUUUGUCCCCGGCAGCAGGGAAGAAGCUGGAGGCCGUGGGAGAAUGGCUGGGCAGAGCAGAGGGGCAGCGAUAGACUCUGGGGAUGGAGCAGGACGGGGACGGGAGGGGCCGGCCACCUGUCUGUAAGGAGACUUUGUUGCUUCCCCUGCCCCCGGAAUCCACAGUGCUCUGCUUCUCUGUGUCGCCCCGCCCAGCCCCCUGGUGUGGAGGGAGGGGUCUCGUUUGUGCGCGUGGGUGUAGCUUUGUGCAUCCUCUCCCAGUGGAGCGAUCACCUGUGCCUCCCCUCCCCCUUUGUUUGCCCCUGUGUGGUUGGUCAAGGAGGGAUGUGAGGGAAAUAGGGACCCCCCGACUUGCCCUCCUGCCUCAGUCUUUCCCCCACCCUGUCUCUUCCUUGUCCUUCUCUGGAAAAUGCCAAAAUACACGAUGUGAAUAAAAGUACAACGGCUAAA
RNA transcript from Homo sapiens (human), 3219 nucleotides. It is a transcript of the gene named ubiquitin specific peptidase 5, with no coding region annotated. The record is from RefSeq and is marked validated. The transcript is spliced from 20 exons. NCBI's taxonomy places the organism in Eukaryota, Metazoa, Chordata, Mammalia, Primates, Hominidae.